Molecule: ribosomal RNA, 430 nt
Filed under: uncultured bacterium
Lineage: Bacteria
Description: bacterial SSU rRNA
Rfam family: Bacterial small subunit ribosomal RNA
Source: RNAcentral
GACGAACGCUGGCGGCGUGCUUAACACAUGCAAGUCGAGCGGUAAGGCCCUUUCGGGGGUACACGAGCGGCGAACGGGUGAGUAACACGUGGGUGACCUGCCCUCAGCUCUGGGAUAAGCCUGGGAAACCGGGUCUAAUACUGGAUAUGACUCCAUGACGCAUGUUGUGGGGUGGAAAGCCUUGUGCGGCUGAGGAUGGGCCCGCGGCCUAUCAGCUUGUUGGUGGGGUGANGGCCUACCAAGGCGACGAUCCGUAGCUGGUCUGAGAGGAUGAUCAGCCACACUGGGACUGAGACACGGCCCAGACUCCUACGGGAGGCAGCAGUGGGGAAUAUUGGACAAUGGGCGCAAGCCUGAUCCAGCCAUGCCGCGUGAGUGACGAAGGUCUUCGGAUUGUAAAGCUCUUUUGGCGGGGACGAUAAUGACGGUA